GUCCUGGCAAGAGACAGUUGGGGUCAGUUGGAGAGCUUGAGGCGAGUGACAGAGAAAAGAAAGGAGACAGUCGGUCGCAGGGAAAGGAAGUGGAUAGCCUCAGACAAGGAGCGGUGUGGACCCCGGUGACUGGAGAGCUGGGGGGAGCAGAGCCGAGGAAAGCCCAAGCUGUCUGAUCAGCAGGAGGAGAAGACGCAGGCGAUCCACAAAGUGCUGCGGUGGUGAUUGAUCCGGUAUCUGUUCAGAUGGUCGACCAUGUUAUGGUCGACAGUCAUUAGGUUGACCACUAUUGGUCGACAUUGACAUGGCCGACAUGGACACAUGGUCGACACAUGAAAAUGGUCGACGCAUGAAAGGUCGACACAUGAAAAGGUCGACAUGAGUUUUUUUUUACUUUUUUUCUUUUGGGGAACUUUUCCAUACUUUACGAUCCACGUGCACUAUGAUUGGAACGGUAAUCUGUGCCGAGCGAAGCGGUAGCGGAGCAAAGGCACCAUGCCCGAAGCAUGGCGAGCGAAGCGAGCCAUGCAGGGGGCGCGGUGCACUAAUUGGGGUUCCAGUCACUUUACGCAAAAAACGACACAAUUGAUCCCCGGUGCGGUGCUAGCUGUACCCAGGCAGAGCAGAAGCAUCACGAAGGGGGCCACCCAGAGGAGGUGAUCGCAGCCAGGAGUGACAGCGAGAGGCACAGCCAGAACGCAGUGUGAGCAUCAGCACAAAUUGGCCAGUAGAAGUGACCAUGCAGAAAAUUGGCAAAUACUGAAGGGAAAUUCUGGUGGCAUUUGACCAGGAAGUAAAAACCUGAUAAAGUGAACAAGGUCGUGAAGGUGCUGAACCACAUGUGGAACGCAUGACGGCGGACGGCACUUCCUGUUUCCGGCCAGAUUCAACUUCUAGUUUAGACGCCACUUCCGGCAAACGUAAUUGCCGCUGAACAUCUUCCUGCGCGAAUAGCGGGAGAGAGCCGCCAACAGAGGGGGAGAUUACCUAUUGAGGAUUUCUUUAAAUAGAGAAAGAGACAGUUAGGACAGCAUGCUUCUGAGGGAGGACCAAUGAAGGUCUGAAACGCAUUAAGCUGCUGAACAACAAAGGGGGACCAGAGCCAUUAGGAGGCAUCUAUUCUGAUACAGCAUUUGGAUCGAUCCGGACGUUAUACUCUGCUAUUACCAUCUGUCAGGGAAGUUUGUGAUUCCUGUAGGUUUGCUGGAUACCCAUUGUUGGUAGAUAUGCUACUUUGAUUGUUUUUAUUCUGUGAGUGCAUUUUAUUAAAAAAUUGUUACCCCUUUUAAAAAA
Molecule: long non-coding RNA, 1293 nt
Organism: Pseudophryne corroboree (corroboree frog)
Lineage: Eukaryota; Metazoa; Chordata; Amphibia; Anura; Myobatrachidae
Exons: 3
Source: RefSeq, a predicted model, not a curated record